CUUGCUGGGUACUCGAGUGGCGAACGGGUGAGUAACACGUGGGUGAUCUGCCCUGCACUCUGGGAUAAGCCUGGGAAACUGGGUCUAAUACCGGAUAUGACCGACUGUCGCAUGGUGGUUGGUGGAAAGCUUUUGCGGUGUGGGAUGGGCCCGCGGCCUAUCAGCUUGUUGGUGGGGUAAUGGCCUACCAAGGCGACGACGGGUAGCCGACCUGAGAGGGUGAUCGGCCACACUGGGACUGAGACACGGCCCAGACUCCUACGGGAGGCAGCAGUGGGGAAUAUUGCACAAUGGGCGCAAGCCUGAUGCAGCGACGCCGCGUGAGGGAUGACGGCCUUCGGGUUGUAAACCUCUUUCACCAGGGACGAAGCGUGAGUGACGGUACCUGGAGAAGAAGCACCGGCCAACUACGUGCCAGCAGCCGCGGUAAUACGUAGGGUGCGAGCGUUGUCCGGAAUUACUGGGCGUAAAGAGCUCGUAGGCGGUUUGUCGCGUCGUCUGUGAAAUUCUGCAACUCAAUUGCAGGCGUGCAGGCGAUACGGGCAGACUUGAGUACUACAGGGGAGACUGGAAUUCCUGGUGUAGCGGUGAAAUGCGCAGAUAUCAGGAGGAACACCGGUGGCGAAGGCGGGUCUCUGGGUAGUAACUGACGCUGAGGAGCGAAAGCGU
This 669-nucleotide ribosomal RNA is filed under the name Gordonia sp. 11418. Its description in RNAcentral is "bacterial SSU rRNA". It matches the Rfam family "Bacterial small subunit ribosomal RNA", at positions 79 to 762 of the family's 1533-position model. The record is from RNAcentral. Lineage: Bacteria; Bacillati; Actinomycetota; Actinomycetes; Mycobacteriales; Gordoniaceae.